Molecule: small RNA, 127 nt
Filed under: Marmota monax (woodchuck)
Lineage: Eukaryota; Metazoa; Chordata; Mammalia; Rodentia; Sciuridae
Source: RNAcentral
GCCAGGUGCAGUGGCGUACACCUGUAAUCCCAGUAACCGAGGAGGCCGAGGCAGGAGGAUUGCAGGUCUGAGAUCAGCCUCAGCAACUUAGUGAGGUCCUAAGCAAUUUAGAGAGACUCUGUCUCUA